RNAcentral lists this small RNA (29 nucleotides) under Bombyx mori (domestic silkworm). Its description in RNAcentral is "ovarian small RNA-1641". The record is from RNAcentral. Lineage: Eukaryota; Metazoa; Arthropoda; Insecta; Lepidoptera; Bombycidae.
UUGUAGACAUACGAGUAUACGGCCCACUU